AUCCAGCUGACCAGUUCCAAAUAGGACGAAACGCACGUCCUGAAU
RNAcentral lists this non-coding RNA (45 nucleotides) under Schistosoma haematobium. The record is from RNAcentral. Lineage: Eukaryota; Metazoa; Platyhelminthes; Trematoda; Strigeidida; Schistosomatidae.